AGCACAGCAACGGGUGGAGCGUGCGGUUUAAUUGGAUUCAACGCCGGAAAACUCACCGGGGGCGACGGUUACAUGAAGGCCAGGCUGAUGACCUUGCCUGAUUUUCCGAGAGGUGGUGCAUGGCCGCCGUCAGUUCGUACCGUAAGGCGUUCUGUUAAGUCAGACAACGAACGAGACCCUCAUCUUUAAUUGCUACUAGUAAGUUCGCUUACUGGGCACAUUAAAGAAACCGCUGGCGAUAAGUCAGAGGAAGGCGAGGGCAACGGUAGGUCAGUAUGCCCUGAAUCCUCCGGGUUACACGCGCGCUACAAAGGCUAGGACAAUGAGCUUCAACACCGAGAGGUGAAGGUAAUCUCGAAACCUAGUCGUAGUUCGGAUUGAGGGUUGAAACUCACCCUCAUGAAGCUGGAAUCCGUAGUAAUCGCGGAUCAACAUCCCGCGGUGAAUAUGCCCCUGCUCCUUGCACACACCGCCCGUCAAACCAUGCGAGUUGGGUUUGAGUGAGGAUGUAGUUUUUGCUACGUUCAAACUUAGNCUUAGUAAGCGGGGUU
This 551-nucleotide ribosomal RNA is filed under the name uncultured archaeon. RNAcentral describes it as "bacterial SSU rRNA". It matches the Rfam family "Archaeal small subunit ribosomal RNA", at positions 875 to 1429 of the family's 1478-position model. The record is from RNAcentral.